UGAGGAAUAUUGGUCAAUGGGCGCAAGCCUGAACCAGCCAUGCCGCGUGAAGGAUGAAGGCGUUCUGCGUUGUAAACUUCUUUUACCAGGGAAGAAACCUUCUUUUUCUAAGGAAGCCGACGGUACCUGAGGAAUAAGCACCGGCUAACUCCGUGCCAGCAGCCGCGGUAAUACGGAGGGUGCAAGCGUUAUCCGGAUUUACUGGGUUUAAAGGGUGUGUAGGCGGACUAUUAAGUCAGCGGUGAAAUCUCCGGGCUCAACCCGGAAACUGCCAUUGAUACUAUUAGUCUUGAAUGUUGUUGAGGUGGGCGGAACGGGUCAUGUAGCGGUGAAAUGCAUAGAUAUGACCCGGAACACCGAUUGCGAAGGCAGCCCACUAAGCAAUGAUUGACGCUGAGGCACGAAAGCGUGGGGAUCAAACAGGAUUAGAUACCCCCGUAGUCC
Molecule: ribosomal RNA, 444 nt
Filed under: uncultured bacterium
Lineage: Bacteria
Description: bacterial SSU rRNA
Rfam family: Bacterial small subunit ribosomal RNA
Source: RNAcentral